Molecule: transfer RNA, 72 nt
Filed under: Heterocephalus glaber (naked mole-rat)
Lineage: Eukaryota; Metazoa; Chordata; Mammalia; Rodentia; Bathyergidae
Rfam family: tRNA
About the family: Transfer RNA (tRNA) molecules are approximately 80 nucleotides in length.
Source: Rfam by way of RNAcentral
GGAAAUGUGGAUCAGUGGUAGAUCACUUUUCUAGUACAUACAAGACUCUGGGUUCAAUCCCCAGCACUGCAA